This 1049-nucleotide long non-coding RNA is filed under the name Neogobius melanostomus (round goby). RNAcentral describes it as "lncRNA (ENSNMLG00000023399.1)". Lineage: Eukaryota; Metazoa; Chordata; Actinopteri; Gobiiformes; Gobiidae. The record is from RNAcentral.
CCCGGAACUAACGCGGAAGUAAGAAUUUUUUCUGGCUCGCUGCGCCAAUGAGCACAAACCAUUGAAAUCAACGGGCGGCCAUAUUGGAAGCCCGGGGCUUGAGUGCAGUACAUUGAAGUAAAUUUGUGCAGUAUCGAUGCAGACGCGCUGUGAAGGAGCUGAUCAGACACUUCCCCUCACUGAGUGCUCCGUUUCGGACAGAACUCGUUCGGGGGUAGGGUGAGGGAGGAGGGACCGGUUUCGGAAAGGCACACUCCCGGAAAAAAAACCCCUCAUAAAACAGGAAGUGACGUCGCACCAUCGCAGAUGCAGCCCGCGGAAAAGGAACCGAUAUGGCAGAGGCGUCAACAUUGAAAUCCGCGCCCAAACGCAGACGGAUUCUUGACCCGUCUGCCGUCGUCCCAGUGCCCAUCUACUCCAACCAGGUGAACAGAAGUUUGAAGCUUAAAGCGCCAACGUUCAGCGAGAAAAAUCCCACAGAGGCAGCUGCAGACGACGGCUUCUGGUCAACGUUUUCCUGCGCCUCGAAGAACCGGGCGCCGGUGGAGCUCAGCGAGUCUGACUCUGACGACGAGCUGAAGAGCGCGGUGCAGGCGAAGAAGAGCAGCAGCAUCACGGAGCCGCUGCGCUCGCCGUCUCCUCCUCCUCCUCAGAGUCCGCUCCAGAAACCGUCCCGGAAAGCCAAGCUCAAACUCAAUGAGAUCGAGCGGCAGCUGCAGGCCGUGAACUCGCUCCUGUCUCCGGGAACGACUCACGACGGCGGAGGGGCAGAAGGGCAGACGGUCGCCGCGGUUACAGAGCGUCGACGACGUAAUCAUCGUGAGCGCCACGGAAGACGACGACCUCAUCGUGAUGAGCCCGGAGCCCUCGUCUCCGCUGGGGUUCAGGGCGGAGCGACAGAUCCCUCUGAAGGUCCGCUGCAGAGCCGACCUGCACAAGAUCCACGUGCAGCCGUCCACGCCCCUGAGCGUCGUCGUGGAGCAGCUGUCCGUCACUCUGGGAGUCCCGCCCCCUCGGCUGCUGCUGCUGCGGGAGGAGGCGGAGCUUAG